AAUCACUAAUCAUUACUUACAUUUUAUAGUAUACCAAUGAGUGCUGUUACUAUAAUGAUCCUUGGACAAUCAUAUACCUGUAGUAGAGCUGGUCAAGUGAUACAAGUUGAUCAGAUUACAAAUGGGGUGAGGUAUUGUGGAGGGAUUGUGUGCCCAUCUUGUGUUGAGAUAUGCUAUGAUGAUUUUGAAAACUGCCCUGAACAGGUAAUAAGAGUUUUAUAUUAACACAAUAUCUUAGAUUUUUCUAUGAUUAAGCUCAACUGUAAGGAGAUUUAGCAAGUCCUACUCCAACUGAAAGUAUUGGAAGUCCCACUUCUGCUAGUGUCCAAAGUUCUACUUCUACUGCUAGUUUUAAAAG
This is a long non-coding RNA of Amphimedon queenslandica, 358 nucleotides long. RefSeq lists it as uncharacterized. The record is from RefSeq and is a predicted model, not a curated record. NCBI's taxonomy places the organism in Eukaryota, Metazoa, Porifera, Demospongiae, Haplosclerida, Niphatidae. The transcript has 3 exons.